RNAcentral lists this ribosomal RNA (442 nucleotides) under uncultured bacterium. RNAcentral describes it as "partial 16S ribosomal RNA". It matches the Rfam family "Bacterial small subunit ribosomal RNA", at positions 338 to 795 of the family's 1533-position model. The record is from RNAcentral.
CCUACGGGUGGCAGCAGUGGGGAAUAUUGGGCAAUGGGCGCAAGCCUGACCCAGCAACGCCGCGUGAAGGAAGAAGGCUUUCGGGUUGUAAACUUCUUUUCUGAGGGACGAAGAAAGUGACGGUACCUCAGGAAUAAGCCACGGCUAACUACGUGCCAGCAGCCGCGGUAAUACGUAGGUGGCAAGCGUUAUCCGGAUGUAUUGGGUUUAAAGGGUGCGCAGGCGGGCUGGUAAGCCGGCGGUAAAAAUUCAGGGCUCAACCCUGUCGAGCCGGCGGAACUGGCAGUCUUGAGUGGGUGAGAAGUAUGCGGAAUGCGUGGUGUAGCGGUGAAAUGCAUAGAUAUCACGCAGAACGCCGAUUGCGAAGGCAGCAUACCGGCGCCCAACUGACGCUGAGGCACGAAAGCGUGGGGAUCGAACAGGAUUAGAUACCCUGGUAGUC